GUAGGGUGCGAGCGUUAUCCGGAAUCAUUGGGCGUAAAGAGCUCGUAGGCGGUUCAGCAAGUCGGCUGUGAAAGUCCGAGGCUCAACCUCGGAACUGCAGUCGGUACUGCUGUGACUCGAGUCCGGUAGAGGAGAAUGGAAUUCAGGGUGUAGCGGUGAAAUGCGCAGAUAUCCUGAGGAACACCAGUAGCGAAGGCGGUUCUCUGGGCCGGUACUGACGCUGAGGAGCGAAAGCGUGGGGGUAGCAAACAGGAUUAGAUACCCUGGUAGUCCACGCCCGUAAACGUUGGACACUAGGUGUGGCGUUCCGACCCAACGGGUGCCGUGCCGAAGCUAACGCAUUAAGUGUCCCCGCCUGGGAGUACGGCCGCAAGGCUA
This 378-nucleotide ribosomal RNA is filed under the name uncultured organism. RNAcentral's name for it is "partial 16S ribosomal RNA". It matches the Rfam family "Bacterial small subunit ribosomal RNA", at positions 527 to 896 of the family's 1533-position model. The record is from RNAcentral.